AGAGGGAUGGCUGAGCAGUUAAGAGCAUUGGACUGCUCUUCCAGAGGACCAGGGUCAGUUCCUGGUACCUGUA
This 73-nucleotide transfer RNA is filed under the name Rattus norvegicus (Norway rat). It matches the Rfam family "tRNA". From Rfam's summary of the family: Transfer RNA (tRNA) molecules are approximately 80 nucleotides in length. Lineage: Eukaryota; Metazoa; Chordata; Mammalia; Rodentia; Muridae. The record is from Rfam by way of RNAcentral.